UGAAUAUUAGAAACUUUGGGAAUUUUACUCAAGUAAUAUGCUAAAGGUGACUUUAACUUCUACCAGUCAUUUUCUGGUAAGAUACUUGUGCUUUUACCCAAGUAUUGCUUUCACAUACUUCAUACUUCUGUACUAAAGUGAUGCUUUCGAGUACUUUGUACAAUACUGUACUUAAGUGAUUCAACAUAAUGUUACUGUAAUUAAAUUCUGUACACAAUUACCUAAAUAAGUUA
Etheostoma spectabile (orangethroat darter) is the source of this 233-nucleotide long non-coding RNA. RefSeq lists it as uncharacterized. The record is from RefSeq and is a predicted model, not a curated record. NCBI's taxonomy places the organism in Eukaryota, Metazoa, Chordata, Actinopteri, Perciformes, Percidae. The transcript is spliced from 4 exons.